RNAcentral lists this ribosomal RNA (839 nucleotides) under uncultured organism. Its description in RNAcentral is "bacterial SSU rRNA". It matches the Rfam family "Bacterial small subunit ribosomal RNA", at positions 604 to 1456 of the family's 1533-position model. The record is from RNAcentral.
GCGGCUCAACCGUAGAACUGCCAUUGAAACUGGGGGGCUUGAAUACAGAUGAAGUAGGCGGAAUGAGUAGUGUAGCGGUGAAAUGCAUAGAUAUUACUCAGAACACCGAUUGCGUAGGCAGCUUACUAAACUGAUAUUGACGCUGAGGCACGAAAGCGUGGGGAGCGAACAGGAUUAGAUACCCUGGUAGUCCACGCAGUAAACGAUGUUCACUCGCUGUUUGCGAUAUACAGUAAGCGGCUUAGCGAAAGCAUUAAGUGAACCACCUGGGGAGUACGUCGGCAACGGUGAAACUCAAAGGAAUUGACGGGGGCCCGCACAAGCGGAGGAACAUGUGGUUUAAUUCGAUGAUACGCGAGGAACCUUACCUGGGCUUAAAUGUAGGUUGCAUGAGGUGGAAACACCCUUCCCUUCGGGGCUACCUACAAGGUGCUGCAUGGUUGUCGUCAGCUCGUGCCGUGAGGUGUCGGGUUAAGUCCCAUAACGAGCGCAACCAUUACCGUUAGUUGCCAUCAGGUCAAGCUGGGAACUCUAACGGGACUGCCACCGUAAGGUGGGAGGAAGGUGGGGAUGACGUCAAAUCAGCACGGCCAUUAUGUCCAGGGCUACACACGUGUUACAAUGGCCGGUACAGAGGGCAGCUACACCGCGAGGUGGUGCUAAUCCUAAAAGCCGGUCCCAGUUCGGAUCGUAGUCUGCAACCCGACUACGUGAAGUUGGAUUCGCUAGUAAUCGCGCAUCAGCCAUGGCGCGGUGAAUACGUUCCCGGGCAUUGUACACACCGCCCGUCAAACCAUGGAAGCUGGGGGGACAUGAAGUCUGUCACCGAAAGGAGCGGC